GCCCCCGAAGGCUGCCAGGCUGGUUGUUUUCUCCACCGCUGAUUGAAUUUAGAUCCUGUUUGGUAGGAGAGCAGCAGUCUGUUCAAUCUCUGAGAUCCUGAUUCAACUCUAGCAACACACUGGGCUUUCCUGAGGCCUCCUGGUGGAGCAAAGACUCAUCUGAAGAAGGAAACAAGGUGUCAAGACUCCUCACUGAGAGUCAGCUCUUCCACCGUCUGCUCUCUGCUUCCCCUGUGGUGAACAUAUUUGCUGGACCAGAAAUCGAGACACAUGGUCUGGCCAUGAAAAAAUGAAAUUGAGACUGUUCCAGAAAAUCUA
This 318-nucleotide long non-coding RNA is filed under the name Equus caballus (horse). Its description in RNAcentral is "lncRNA (ENSECAG00000028106.3)". Lineage: Eukaryota; Metazoa; Chordata; Mammalia; Perissodactyla; Equidae. The record is from RNAcentral.